RNAcentral lists this ribosomal RNA (2927 nucleotides) under Escherichia coli. Its description in RNAcentral is "23S ribosomal RNA". It matches the Rfam family "Bacterial large subunit ribosomal RNA". The record is from RNAcentral. Lineage: Bacteria; Pseudomonadati; Pseudomonadota; Gammaproteobacteria; Enterobacterales; Enterobacteriaceae.
GGGUUGUGAGGUUAAGCGACUAAGCGUACACGGUGGAUGCCCUGGCAGUCAGAGGCGAUGAAGGACGUGCUAAUCUGCGAUAAGCGUCGGUAAGGUGAUAUGAACCGUUAUAACCGGCGAUUUCCGAAUGGGGAAACCCAGUGUGUUUCGACACACUAUCAUUAACUGAAUCCAUAGGUUAAUGAGGCGAACCGGGGGAACUGAAACAUCUAAGUACCCCGAGGAAAAGAAAUCAACCGAGAUUCCCCCAGUAGCGGCGAGCGAACGGGGAGGAGCCCAGAGCCUGAAUCAGUGUGUGUGUUAGUGGAAGCGUCUGGAAAGGCGCGCGAUACAGGGUGACAGCCCCGUACACAAAAAUGCACAUGCUGUGAGCUCGAUGAGUAGGGCGGGACACGUGGUAUCCUGUCUGAAUAUGGGGGGACCAUCCUCCAAGGCUAAAUACUCCUGACUGACCGAUAGUGAACCAGUACCGUGAGGGAAAGGCGAAAAGAACCCCGGCGAGGGGAGUGAAAAAGAACCUGAAACCGUGUACGUACAAGCAGUGGGAGCACGCUUAGGCGUGUGACUGCGUACCUUUUGUAUAAUGGGUCAGCGACUUAUAUUCUGUAGCAAGGUUAACCGAAUAGGGGAGCCGAAGGGAAACCGAGUCUUAACUGGGCGUUAAGUUGCAGGGUAUAGACCCGAAACCCGGUGAUCUAGCCAUGGGCAGGUUGAAGGUUGGGUAACACUAACUGGAGGACCGAACCGACUAAUGUUGAAAAAUUAGCGGAUGACUUGUGGCUGGGGGUGAAAGGCCAAUCAAACCGGGAGAUAGCUGGUUCUCCCCGAAAGCUAUUUAGGUAGCGCCUCGUGAAUUCAUCUCCGGGGGUAGAGCACUGUUUCGGCAAGGGGGUCAUCCCGACUUACCAACCCGAUGCAAACUGCGAAUACCGGAGAAUGUUAUCACGGGAGACACACGGCGGGUGCUAACGUCCGUCGUGAAGAGGGAAACAACCCAGACCGCCAGCUAAGGUCCCAAAGUCAUGGUUAAGUGGGAAACGAUGUGGGAAGGCCCAGACAGCCAGGAUGUUGGCUUAGAAGCAGCCAUCAUUUAAAGAAAGCGUAAUAGCUCACUGGUCGAGUCGGCCUGCGCGGAAGAUGUAACGGGGCUAAACCAUGCACCGAAGCUGCGGCAGCGACGCUUAUGCGUUGUUGGGUAGGGGAGCGUUCUGUAAGCCUGUGAAGGUGUACUGUGAGGUAUGCUGGAGGUAUCAGAAGUGCGAAUGCUGACAUAAGUAACGAUAAAGCGGGUGAAAAGCCCGCUCGCCGGAAGACCAAGGGUUCCUGUCCAACGUUAAUCGGGGCAGGGUGAGUCGACCCCUAAGGCGAGGCCGAAAGGCGUAGUCGAUGGGAAACAGGUUAAUAUUCCUGUACUUGGUGUUACUGCGAAGGGGGGACGGAGAAGGCUAUGUUGGCCGGGCGACGGUUGUCCCGGUUUAAGCGUGUAGGCUGGUUUUCCAGGCAAAUCCGGAAAAUCAAGGCUGAGGCGUGAUGACGAGGCACUACGGUGCUGAAGCAACAAAUGCCCUGCUUCCAGGAAAAGCCUCUAAGCAUCAGGUAACAUCAAAUCGUACCCCAAACCGACACAGGUGGUCAGGUAGAGAAUACCAAGGCGCUUGAGAGAACUCGGGUGAAGGAACUAGGCAAAAUGGUGCCGUAACUUCGGGAGAAGGCACGCUGAUAUGUAGGUGAAGUCCCUCGCGGAUGGAGCUGAAAUCAGUCGAAGAUACCAGCUGGCUGCAACUGUUUAUUAAAAACACAGCACUGUGCAAACACGAAAGUGGACGUAUACGGUGUGACGCCUGCCCGGUGCCGGAAGGUUAAUUGAUGGGGUUAGCGGUAACGCGAAGCUCUUGAUCGAAGCCCCGGUAAACGGCGGCCGUAACUAUAACGGUCCUAAGGUAGCGAAAUUCCUUGUCGGGUAAGUUCCGACCUGCACGAAUGGCGUAAUGAUGGCCAGGCUGUCUCCACCCGAGACUCAGUGAAAUUGAACUCGCUGUGAAGAUGCAGUGUACCCGCGGCAAGACGGAAAGACCCCGUGAACCUUUACUAUAGCUUGACACUGAACAUUGAGCCUUGAUGUGUAGGAUAGGUGGGAGGCUUUGAAGUGUGGACGCCAGUCUGCAUGGAGCCGACCUUGAAAUACCACCCUUUAAUGUUUGAUGUUCUAACGUUGACCCGUAAUCCGGGUUGCGGACAGUGUCUGGUGGGUAGUUUGACUGGGGCGGUCUCCUCCUAAAGAGUAACGGAGGAGCACGAAGGUUGGCUAAUCCUGGUCGGACAUCAGGAGGUUAGUGCAAUGGCAUAAGCCAGCUUGACUGCGAGCGUGACGGCGCGAGCAGGUGCGAAAGCAGGUCAUAGUGAUCCGGUGGUUCUGAAUGGAAGGGCCAUCGCUCAACGGAUAAAAGGUACUCCGGGGAUAACAGGCUGAUACCGCCCAAGAGUUCAUAUCGACGGCGGUGUUUGGCACCUCGAUGUCGGCUCAUCACAUCCUGGGGCUGAAGUAGGUCCCAAGGGUAUGGCUGUUCGCCAUUUAAAGUGGUACGCGAGCUGGGUUUAGAACGUCGUGAGACAGUUCGGUCCCUAUCUGCCGUGGGCGCUGGAGAACUGAGGGGGGCUGCUCCUAGUACGAGAGGACCGGAGUGGACGCAUCACUGGUGUUCGGGUUGUCAUGCCAAUGGCACUGCCCGGUAGCUAAAUGCGGAAGAGAUAAGUGCUGAAAGCAUCUAAGCACGAAACUUGCCCCGAGAUGAGUUCUCCCUGACUCCUUGAGAGUCCUGAAGGAACGUUGAAGACGACGACGUUGAUAGGCCGGGUGUGUAAGCGCAGCGAUGCGUUGAGCUAACCGGUACUAAUGAACCGUGAGGCUUAACCUUACAACGCCGAAG